GAAGUUAGCGGCGGACGGGUGAGUAACACGUGGGCAACCUGCCUGUAAGACUGGGAUAACUUCGGGAAACCGGAGCUAAUACCGGAUAACUUCUUUCCUCGCAUGAGGAAAGGUUAAAAGACGGUUAUGCUGUCACUUACAGAUGGGCCCGCGGCGCAUUAGCUAGUUGGUGAGGUAACGGCUCACCAAGGCGACGAUGCGUAGCCGACCUGAGAGGGUGAUCGGCCACACUGGGACUGAGACACGGCCCAGACUCCUACGGGAGGCAGCAGUAGGGAAUCUUCCGCAAUGGACGAAAGUCUGACGGAGCAACGCCGCGUGAGUGAAGAAGGUCUUCGGAUCGUAAAACUCUGUUAUCAGGGAAGAAUAAGUACCGUGUAACUAACGGUACCUUGACGGUACCUGACCAGAAAGCCACGGCUAACUACGUGCCAGCAGCCGCGGUAAUACGUAGGUGGCAAGCGUUGUCCGGAAUUAUUGGGCGUAAAGCGCGCGCAGGCGGUUUCUUAAGUCUGAUGUGAAAUCUCGCGGCUCAACCGUGAGCGGUCAUUGGAAACUGGGAAACUUGAGUGCAGAAGAGAAGAGCGGAAUUCCACGUGUAGCGGUGAAAUGCGUAGAGAUGUGGAGGAACACCAGUGGCGAAGGCGGCUCUUUGGUCUGUAACUGACGCUGAGGCGCGAAAGCGUGGGGAGCGAACAGGAUUAGAUACCCUGGUAGUCCACGCCGUAAACGAU
RNAcentral lists this ribosomal RNA (734 nucleotides) under Lederbergia wuyishanensis. RNAcentral's name for it is "bacterial SSU rRNA". It matches the Rfam family "Bacterial small subunit ribosomal RNA", at positions 88 to 810 of the family's 1533-position model. Lineage: Bacteria; Bacillati; Bacillota; Bacilli; Caryophanales; Bacillaceae. The record is from RNAcentral.